UACGUAGGGGGCAAGCGUUGUCCGGAUUUAUUGGGCGUAAAGAGCGUGUAGGCGGCCAUACAGGUCCGUUGUGAAAACUGGAGGCUUAACCUCCAGACGUCGAUGGAAACCGUAUGGCUAGAGUCCGGAAGAGGAGAGUGGAAUUCCUGGUGUAGCGGUGAAAUGCGCAGAUAUCAGGAAGAACACCCGUGGCGAAGGCAGGUCUCUGGGCAUUAACUGACGCUGAGGAGCGAAAGCAUGGGGAGCGAACAGG
Molecule: ribosomal RNA, 253 nt
Filed under: uncultured bacterium
Lineage: Bacteria
Description: partial 16S ribosomal RNA
Rfam family: Bacterial small subunit ribosomal RNA
Source: RNAcentral